GGGGCUGUAUCAUAACCAGGCU
This 22-nucleotide microRNA is filed under the name Oreochromis niloticus (Nile tilapia). RNAcentral describes it as "oni-miR-729-5p". Its record names the gene oni-miR-729-5p. The record is from miRBase by way of RNAcentral. Lineage: Eukaryota; Metazoa; Chordata; Actinopteri; Cichliformes; Cichlidae.